ACAGGGAUUGCCCCAGUAACGGCGAGUGAAGCGGCAAAAGCUCAAAUUUGAAAUCCUGCGGGAAUUGUAAUUUGAAGGUUUCGUGGUCUGAGUCGGCCGCGCCCAAGUCCAUUGGAACAUGGCGCCUGGGAGGGUGAGAGCCCCGUAUGGCGCACGCCGACUCUUUGCACCGCGGCUCCGACGAGUCGAGUUGUUUGGGAAUGCAGCUCUAAGUGGGUGGUAAAUUCCAUCUAAAGCUAAAUAUUGGCGAGAGACCGAUAGCGAACAAGUACAGUGAUGGAAAGAUGAAAAGCACUUUGAAAAGAGAGUGAAACAGCACGUGAAAUUGUUGAAAGGGAAGGGCUUGCAAGCAGACACGGUUUUACCGGGCCAGCGUCGAAAAGGGGGGAGGAACAAGAACUCGAGAAUGUGGCGCGCACCUUCGGGCGCGCGUGUUAUAGCUCGUGUUGACGCCUCCAUCCCUUUUCGAGGCCUGCGAUUCUAGGACGCUGGCGUAAUGGUUGCAAGCCGCCCGUCUUGAAACACGGACCUCCUGUGUGA
Molecule: ribosomal RNA, 540 nt
Filed under: Clavispora lusitaniae
Lineage: Eukaryota; Fungi; Ascomycota; Pichiomycetes; Serinales; Metschnikowiaceae
Description: eukaryotic LSU rRNA
Rfam family: Eukaryotic large subunit ribosomal RNA
Source: RNAcentral